Molecule: long non-coding RNA, 694 nt
Filed under: Homo sapiens (human)
Lineage: Eukaryota; Metazoa; Chordata; Mammalia; Primates; Hominidae
Description: non-protein coding lnc-SAMD11-13:3
Source: RNAcentral
CGCAAGUAGGUCUACAAGACGCUACUUCCCCUAUCAUAGAAGAGCUUAUCAUCUUUCAUGAUCACGCCCUCAUAAUCAUUUUCCUUAUCUGCUUCCUAGUCCUGUACGCCCUUUUCCUAACACUCACAACAAAACUAACUAAUACUAACAUCUCAGACGCUCAGGAAAUAGAAACCGUCUGAACUAUCCUGCCCGCCAUCAUCCUAGUCCUUAUCGCCCUCCCAUCCCUACGCAUCCUUUACAUAACAGACGAGGUCAACGAUCCCUCCUUUACCAUCAAAUCAAUUGGCCAUCAAUGGUACUGAACCUACGAAUACACCGACUACGGCGGACUAAUCUUCAACUCCUACAUACUUCCCCCAUUAUUCCUAGAACCAGGCGACCUGCGACUCCUUGACGUUGACAAUCGAGUAGUACUCCCGGUUGAAGCCCCCAUUCGUAUAAUAAUUACAUCACAAGACGUCUUACACUCAUGAGCUGUCCCCACAUUAGGCUUAAAAACAGAUGCAAUUCCCGGACGUCUAAACCAAACCACUUUCACUGCUACACGACCAGGGGUAUACUACGGCCAAUGCUCUGAAAUCUGUGGAGCAAACCAGUUUUAUGCCCAUCGUCCUAGAAUUAAUUCCCCUAAAAAUCUUUGAAAUAGGGCCCGUAUUUACCCUAUAGCACCCCCUCUACCCCCUCUAGAGCC